Molecule: unclassified non-coding RNA, 536 nt
Filed under: Hevea brasiliensis (rubber tree)
Lineage: Eukaryota; Viridiplantae; Streptophyta; Magnoliopsida; Malpighiales; Euphorbiaceae
Source: RNAcentral
GACCGGCCCUGGCAUUAAAGUCCUCCAAAAAGCUAUCGGAAAAUCAUUCAACUCCCAUUUUACUAGCAAUAUGCCUGAUCUAUUACUGGAAAAAAGCUACAGACUUUACUGUGAUCCAUAAAUCCCAUAAAUGAGAAAUGAUCCCAUCUCAAUAGCCCACCAAAAAAUUUACUUACGCAAGGAAACCCACAUUGAAUCACAAGCGAGUUCACAGAUCUCAGAAAUGGUGAUGACCCACAUACAGCUAUGCAAGAAAAGAAAGUGGCACUAAGAGAAAAAAGUGCAUCUACUAACAAGAACAGAAAAAACGAAAUCUCUGGUAGCUGUAUGAGAUUGAAAGAUAGAAUAAUGGAAAUUAGGAAAAAUGGCAUGCAACUAAAAGAAGCAGAAGAAAUUAACUUACCAUCUUCUCCUAGUAUAGCACUAGCAAACAGAGCGAAGAAGAGAAUAAUAGACGAAGCGAACCAGUUUCUUCCUGUUGAGCUUUGAACCAUGUUUACUUCUUGGCCAAGCUCUCUCUCUGUCUGUCUCUCUCU